GUGACACCGGACUACAGUCGCAGUUAAAAUGGCCAAGCGUGAAGAUUUCAUCGAAACCUUCACAUUCGUCAAGGAACUGGCAAAAAUGCAUGAAUUUUGCUUGUUCCUUUGCCAGGUCUGUUGUCCCUUUGCCAGUUCUGUUGCCCCCCUCUCCGCUAUAUGUGGUUUCACCAAAAAUGUUUAAUUUGAUGUGGUUUGAUUAGAUAAAGAUAAUUAUGAUAUGAUAGACUAGAAGAAAUCUGAUGUUAGUUUUUGAAUUUUGUCGGCAACAAAGAAUCUCGUGAACUUCCCCAGGUAGUCUCUAAUGCAAGUAAGGACGCUUAAGGUUUGCAGCCCUUCAGAAAACUGAUCGAGUUCACCUUUUGUGGCUAGCACAGUGUGGUGCAUGUUCAGGGCAGAGAGUGAAGCCUUUCUUUUUUUAUUGACAAGGUUGGUGGCAAUCAUUGACAAGGCAGUCAGUAACUCUGCCAUCGCACUUUAACUACUCAAGAUGGCUUGAGUCUGCCGGUGAGAUCCAGCAACAGAUACUUUAUGCAUUUUAGGCAUUAAUUGUGGCUAUUUUGAAUCACUCUUCCAGCAAUGUUUAAAGUGCUGGCAUCCGGAAUAUUUUCUAUUGAAAAUUCGAUGUUUGCAAUAUUGCAUCCACAGAUAUAUGAAUAUAUAUAUCUUAGAUGGAAAGACUGGCAACCCUCCACCAUCUUGUACAAUUGACAAGGCAACUAAUUUCCCAAGACUUUAACAUUUAGCUUUCUAUAAGACACAGGAAAUUACUAGAAAGAUGUCUCCAAAUGGGAACUAUAGGUAUGCAUGGCUGUAUGUUAAUUUUUCAUCUACUUAUUAUUUUGUCCUUUGCACUUAUAUGCAUUUGCAUUGUAGUUGUGUGCAGCUAAAUGCGGCAGGCGAAUUAAUGGCUAGUGGUUAGGGCUUUUUUGGUACUAUCUUUAGAGGAGAAGCAAACGAUAUUACGUCUUCGCAAACCGGACGGAAGUCGCAGUUAAAAUGGCCAAGCUAGAUGAAGAUGAUGAUGCAUCUAAUGAAGCCGUUCUUCAAGAAGAAGCUCACGUCUCAAUUGCUAUGGGCGACAAGACACUUGAGAACGUUAUUCGCUUAUUUACAUUUGCUGUUCAGCAUUGGCUUUUGAUGUUAAGAGAAUAUUGAUUAUUUUAUAAUACCCGCUUAGUGCUGCGUCCAUUCGAGCGGUUCCACCCUUCAAUGACAAUAAUUCAAUAUUCCCAAUUAUCAAAUGAGUGAGCAUGCUGGCAGGUAGCGUAACGAGGGUGGGAUGGAAUAAGGGAGAGACUAUAGUGGAAGGAUGGACGUGAAGGUGGGCCGGAGGAAGAAAGAAAGAGACAGGAGGAAACGAAGGAGGGAUAUCCGUGCAUAUAUUUAUGCAUGCAGGCAUGUGUUAUUCGAUCAUAACGAUUUAAGCCUUUGAACAUUGAAUUAUUUGUAGUACAUAUUUGGCUUGUAUUUGAAUAUGCCAAUCACGGCAACUUCAAGAAGAUUACCGAUCUCUCAGAGAAUCGGUAUGAAGCGAAGCGAACGCGCCGCCAGACCAAACUAGAGCAACAACAUCAAA
This is a long non-coding RNA of Corticium candelabrum, 1579 nucleotides long. RefSeq lists it as uncharacterized. The record is from RefSeq and is a predicted model, not a curated record. NCBI's taxonomy places the organism in Eukaryota, Metazoa, Porifera, Homoscleromorpha, Homosclerophorida, Plakinidae. The transcript has 3 exons.